ACUCUAAACCCUAAAUCAUCAACUCUAAACCCUAAACCAUGAAAUAUCAACUCUAAACCCUAAACCCCGAAACAUCAACUGUAAACCCUAAACCCUAAACCUUCAAAUCUAAACCCUAAAACAUCAACUCUAAACCCUAAACGUAAACCCUAAACCAUAAAUCUAAACUUAAAACAUCAACUUUAAACCCUAAAUCAUCAACUCUAAACCCUAAACUAUGAAACAUCAACUCUAAACCCUAAACCCCAAAACAUCAACUCUAAACCCUAAACUUUAAAGCUUCAAAUCAAAAACUUAAAACAUCAACUCCAAACCCUAAACGUAAACCCUAAAUGCUAAACCCUAAACCCUAGAUUUUUCUGAAAUUCGAACCGUAAACCCUAAAACCCUGAACCUUCAAAUCUAAACCUUAAAACAUCAACUCUAAACCCUAAACGUAAACCCUACACCCUAAAACCCUAAACAUUCAAAUCUAAACCCUAAAACAUCAACUCUACGGUUUUUGGGUUUAGGGUUCAGGGUUUAGGGUUUAGGGUUUAGGGUUUAGAGUUUAGGGUUUAGAAUUGAAGGUUUAGGGUUUAGGGUUUAGAGUUGAUGUUUUAGGGUUUAGGGUUAAUUUUUUAGGGUUUAGGGUUUUGAGUUUACUUUUUAGGGUUUAGGGUUUAGUGUUGAUGGUUUAGGGGUUUAGUGUUGAUGGUUUAGGGCUUUUGAGUUGAAGUUCAGGGUUUAGGGUUUAGGGUUGAUGUUUUAGGGUUUAGAGUUCAUGGUUUAGGGUUUAGAGUUUAGAGUUGAUGUUUCGGGUUUUAGGGUUUAGAGUUGAUGUUUCAGGGUUUUGGGUUCGAAUUUAAAAAAAAAAUAGGGUUUAGAGUUCGUAUUUCAAAAAAAAAAUAGGGUUUAGGAUUGAUGGUUUAGGGUUUAGAGUUGAGUUUUAGGGUUUAGGGUUUGAAUUUCGAAAUAGCAUAAUUCGAAAAAAAAUUUAAAAAUACCAUCAACACUAAACCCUAAACUAUCAACACUAAACCCUAAACCCUAAAAAGUAAACUCUAAACCCUAAACCCUAAAAAAUUAACCUUAAACCCUAAAACAUCAAAUCUAAACCCUAAACUCUAAACCCUAAAUCUUAAACCCUAAACCCUAAAACCCUAGAGUUGAUGUUUUAGGGUUUAGAUUUGAAGAUUUAGGGUUUACGUUUAGGGUUUAGAGUUGAUGUUUUAGGGUUU
This 1220-nucleotide long non-coding RNA is filed under the name Brassica napus (rape). RNAcentral's name for it is "long non-coding RNA (BNAP_LNC021085)". The record is from RNAcentral. Lineage: Eukaryota; Viridiplantae; Streptophyta; Magnoliopsida; Brassicales; Brassicaceae.